Molecule: long non-coding RNA, 208 nt
Filed under: Panax ginseng (ginseng)
Lineage: Eukaryota; Viridiplantae; Streptophyta; Magnoliopsida; Apiales; Araliaceae
Description: long non-coding RNA (PGIN_LNC000948)
Source: RNAcentral
UUAGUCAUGCAAGUAUUAUCAAUCUUGCACCAACUCCCCUAAUAGUACAAGAAUGUGAUUCAAUAGUACACACAUGUGAACAAAUAGUUAUAUAAGCAUGUGAAUUAGUAGCAAUUAAUUGCUCAUUUAUCCGAUUAAUUACCUGAUUUAUCAAUAUAACCCCCAGACAUCAAUUAUCAUCGGAAUAGAUGUCGAUUUCCACUAACAC